Molecule: ribosomal RNA, 1760 nt
Filed under: Helicobacter marmotae
Lineage: Bacteria; Pseudomonadati; Campylobacterota; Epsilonproteobacteria; Campylobacterales; Helicobacteraceae
Description: bacterial SSU rRNA
Rfam family: Bacterial small subunit ribosomal RNA
Source: RNAcentral
GAGUUUGAUCCUGGCUCAGAGUGAACGCUGGCGGCGUGCCUAAUACAUGCAAGUCGAACGAUGAAGCUUCUAGCUUGCUAGAAGUGGAUUAGUGGCGCACGGGUGAGUAACGCAUAGAUAACAUGCCCUUUAGUCUGGGAUAGCCACUGGAAACGGUGAUUAAUACUAGAUAUUCCCUACGGGGGAAAGAGGCUUUCAAUAGAGAAUUUCGGCUUUACAAGAUAAAUCAAUGAGAGAAAUCAAUGGGCUUGAAAAAAUUUUGCUCACAUACGCCAGUAUGCUACGCUUCAAUUUUUUCUGCGCAACAUUAAUUUCUCAUUCUAAAUCCUAGAAGUUCUUUUUACGGAGAUUCUAGGAUUUUGGAAUGCUUUUGUAGGUUAUGAAAAUUUUGCAAUGAAAGAUAAGAGAGAUGUUCUAUCAAGGAAGCAAGAUUUGAACUCCUAGCAGAAUAGCCAAAAGGUAAAUUUUCUAUUGAGAGCUUUCGCUAAAGGAUUGGUCUAUGUCCUAUCAGCUUGUUGGUGAGGUAAUGGCUCACCAAGGCUAUGACGGGUAUCCGGCCUGAGAGGGUGAACGGACACACUGGAACUGAGACACGGUCCAGACUCCUACGGGAGGCAGCAGUAGGGAAUAUUGCUCAAUGGGGGAAACCCUGAAGCAGCAACGCCGCGUGGAGGAUGAAGGUUUUAGGAUUGUAAACUCCUUUUGUUAGAGAAGAUUAUGACGGUAUCUAACGAAUAAGCACCGGCUAACUCCGUGCCAGCAGCCGCGGUAAUACGGAGGGUGCAAGCGUUACUCGGAAUCACUGGGCGUAAAGAGUGCGCAGGCGGGUAAUUAAGUCAGAUGUGAAAUCCUAUAGCUUAACUAUAGAACUGCAUUUGAAACUGAUUAUCUAGAGUGUGGGAGAGGUAGGUGGAAUUCUUGGUGUAGGGGUAAAAUCCGUAGAGAUCAAGAGGAAUACUCAUUGCGAAGGCGACCUACUGGAACAUUACUGACGCUCAUGCACGAAAGCGUGGGGAGCAAACAGGAUUAGAUACCCUGGUAGUCCACGCCCUAAACGAUGAAUGCUAGUUGUUGUGGAGCUUGUCUCUGCAGUAAUGCAGCUAACGCAUUAAGCAUUCCGCCUGGGGAGUACGGUCGCAAGAUUAAAACUCAAAGGAAUAGACGGGGACCCGCACAAGCGGUGGAGCAUGUGGUUUAAUUCGAAGAUACGCGAAGAACCUUACCUAGGCUUGACAUUGAUAGAAUCUACUAGAGAUAGUGGAGUGCCACUUUUGUGGAGCUUGAAAACAGGUGCUGCACGGCUGUCGUCAGCUCGUGUCGUGAGAUGUUGGGUUAAGUCCCGCAACGAGCGCAACCCUCGUCCUUAGUUGCUAGCAGUUCGGCUGAGCACUCUAAGGAGACUGCCUUCGUAAGGAGGAGGAAGGUGAGGACGACGUCAAGUCAUCAUGGCCCUUACGUCUAGGGCUACACACGUGCUACAAUGGGAAGUACAAAAAGAUGCAAUAUCGUGAGGUGGAGCAAAUCUUAAAAACUUCUCUCAGUUCGGAUUGUAGUCUGCAACUCGACUACAUGAAGCUGGAAUCGCUAGUAAUCGCAAAUCAGCAAUGUUGCGGUGAAUACGUUCCCGGGUCUUGUACUCACCGCCCGUCACACCAUGGGAGUUGUAUUCGCCUUAAGUCGGGAUACUAAAUUGGUUACCGCCCACGGCGGAUGCAGCGACUGGGGUGAAGUCGUAACAAGGUAACCGUAGGUGAACCUGC